CCACGUAAGAUUGUUAACUCACCUGCCCAGUGAGUAGGAUCGUGCUGUGUGGAUACCACACCAGCAAGUGACGCAAUGCGGACGACACAUUGGUGAUUUGUGUGAUGGUGAACGGACGACUCUCCUUUCACCAUAUUGACGGUGCAGAUUUGUUAAGGGAGAGUAUUUAAGCCUCACCCCUAUCAGCUCCAAAAAUCCUAGCAGACAAGGUAGACCGAAGAAGAAAGAAGCAGACACCAUAGGAGGUUGCAGGCGGCACCACCACACUCGAACCCUAAAUCGACCUCGAGUAAGCAAUUUUUCCCCUUCUUCCUCCGUCUUUCCUUUUUUGUUGUUGUUUUUUGCAUUCAUAAAUGAUUUUCAACUAGGAGCCUGAGCCUGAGAGUGGAGCAACCACGCUGGCUGCUAGGAAUCCAAUGCAACUCCAGUAA
This 431-nucleotide long non-coding RNA is filed under the name Carica papaya (papaya). RNAcentral describes it as "long non-coding RNA (CPAP_LNC005459)". The record is from RNAcentral. Lineage: Eukaryota; Viridiplantae; Streptophyta; Magnoliopsida; Brassicales; Caricaceae.